RNAcentral lists this ribosomal RNA (427 nucleotides) under gamma proteobacterium SCGC AAA278-L21. Its description in RNAcentral is "partial 16S small subunit ribosomal RNA". It matches the Rfam family "Bacterial small subunit ribosomal RNA", at positions 355 to 774 of the family's 1533-position model. Lineage: Bacteria; Pseudomonadati; Pseudomonadota; Gammaproteobacteria. The record is from RNAcentral.
UGGGGAAUAUUGGACAAUGGGCGCAAGCCUGAUCCAGCCAUGCCGCGUGUGUGAAGAAGGCCUUCGGGUUGUAAAGCCCUUUUGUNGGGAAGGAAAUCCAGCUGGUUAAUACCCGGUUGGGAUGACGNUACCCACAGAAUAAGCACCGGCUAACUUCGUGCCAGCAGCCGCGGUAAUACGNAGGGUGCAAGCGUUAAUCGGAAUUACUGGGCGUAAAGCGNGCGUAGGUGGUUUUUUAAGUCNGAUGUGAAAUCCCCGGGCUCAACCUGGGAACUGCAUUNGAUACUGGCNGNCUAGAGUGUGGUAGAGGGNGGUGGAAUUCCNGGUGUAGCAGUGAAAUGCGUAGAGAUCNGGAGGAACACCCAUGGCGAAGGCAGCCCCCUGGACCAACACUGACACUCAGGCACGAAAGCGUGGGGAGCAAACA